Molecule: ribosomal RNA, 422 nt
Filed under: uncultured bacterium
Lineage: Bacteria
Description: bacterial SSU rRNA
Rfam family: Bacterial small subunit ribosomal RNA
Source: RNAcentral
UAAGGAAUAUUGGUCAAUGGACGCAAGUCUGAACCAGCCAUGCCGCGUGGAGGAUUAAGGCCCUCUGGGUUGUAAACUCCUUUUAUCUGGGAAGAAAUGUACUUUUUCUUGAGUACUUGACGGUACCAGAGGAAUAAGCACCGGCUAACUCCGUGCCAGCAGCCGCGGUAAUACGGAGGGUGCAAGCGUUAUCCGGAUUCACUGGGUUUAAAGGGUGCGUAGGUGGGCAGGUAAGUCAGUGGUGAAAUCUCCGGGCUUAACCCGGAAACUGCCGUUGAUACUAUUUGUCUUGAAUAUUGUGGAGGUUAGCGGAAUAUGUCAUGUAGCGGUGAAAUGCUUAGAUAUGACAUAGAACACCAAUUGCGAAGGCAGCUUACUACACAAUCAUUGACGCUGAGGCACGAAAGCGUGGGGAUCAAACA